Molecule: long non-coding RNA, 2095 nt
Filed under: Paramuricea clavata
Lineage: Eukaryota; Metazoa; Cnidaria; Anthozoa; Malacalcyonacea; Plexauridae
Source: RNAcentral
GGGUAAUAUUUGAACUCAUAUACCGAAAGUCGAUCAAUAUUGAAAAAAAAUAAUAAUAAAAUAUUUUAUACUUAAAUCAGUGCAGUGAAACGUCACAUAAAGUAGCUUAGUCGACCAGUAAUAUAUAGGCUCACAAAGAUUAUAAAAUAUUAAAUUAAUGCAAUGAAAAAUUAAUGACAAGAUUACUUGUACGAAUAUUUUUUUUUAAUUUUUAGCUUGUGUCGAUAAUUUUUUUAAAUAUAAUCCCUUGCACAAAUUGUUUUUAUCUCAACUUAUAAUUUUCCCUAUUGAAAAGUUUCCGCACGAACUUUUUUUUAUUUCAACUUAUAAUUUUCCCUCUUGAAAAGUCUCUGCACAAAUUCUUUUUAUUUCAACUUAUAAUUUUCCCUAUUGAGAAGUCUCGUGCACAAUUUUUUUUUAUUUCAACUUAUAAUUUCCCUAUAGAAAAGUCUCUGCACAAAUGUUUUUUUAUUUCAACUUAUAAUUUUCCCUAUUGAAAAAUCUCUGCACGAAUUUUUUUUAUUUCAACUUAUAAUUUUCCCUAUUGAAAAGUUUCUACACAAUUUUUUUUAUUUCAACUUAUAAUUUUCCCUAUUGAAAAAUCUCUGCACAAUUUUUUUUAUUUCAACUUAUAAUUUUUCCUAUUGAAAAGUCUCUGCACGAAUUUUUUUUAUUUCAACUUAUAAUUUUCCCCAUUGAAAAAUCUCUGCACAAUUUUUUUUUUUAUUUCAACUUAUAAUUUUUCCUAUUGAAAAGUCUCUGCAUGAAUUUUUUUUAUUUCAACUUAUAAUUUUCCCUAUUGAAAAAUCUCUGCACAAAUUUUUUUUUAUUUCAACUUAUAAUUUUUCCUAUUGAAAAGUCUCUGCACGAAUUUUUUUUAUUUCAACUUAUAAUUUUCCCUAUUGAAAAGUCUCUGCACAAAUUUUUUUUUCAAACUUUCUUGGUGUACGAAUUUUUUUCUCUCUGUUUCCCCUGCGCAAUUUUUUCCCUUUCACCCCCCCCCCCCAUUUUUUUUCUAAUGGUCCGCCCCUUGGGCAAGUUUAAUAUUACGAAUAAUAAAAGUCUAACUAAAUGCAAUAACAAGAUUACAUGAUAUACUACUAUUAAAAAAUUAUAUCGCAAUAGAAGUAAGUGUUGUGAGCUAUAAAUAAAAGAACGCGUAAUCAGGCAAUAUCCAGUCAGAUACGCUUUGCACAGAGUUAAAACUUUACAUUAAGAAUCGAAAGGAAGCAUGUCACCAAUGAAGAUUUACGCGUUUUGUUUUCUCCUUAUCCUUGCUCCGUUGUUGGUGACAAGUGCACCAUUAUUCUGGAAGGUAAUAAAAUUCAAACUUGUUGUUGUGGGAAACAUUGCUUCCUAACCAUGUAACCCAAACAAAGUGGGCAAACCAGGAAACAUUAUUUCCUUGCCAGGUUUCCAAAAGAUGACAAACCAGGAAACGUUAUUUCCUAUACACAUGUUUCUUAAUAAAGGUGGGCGAACCAAGAAACAAUAUAUAUGCACGUUUCCUAUAGCUAUGGUUCUUAAAAGAGGACAAACUAAGAAACAUUGUUUCUUCGCCAUGUUUCCUAGCCAUGAUUCCUGAAGAUGGGCAAACCAAGAAACAUACAUGCAUGAGUUUCCCAUGUUCCGCAAUGGUAACCCUGGACACAUAGUUUUCUAGCCAUGUUUCCCAAAGGUAGACAAACUAGGGAACAUUGUUUCCUAGCAAUCCACACAUGUUUCUUGAAGGUGACCAAACCAGGACACGGCAUGGGCAACCCUGGUGAUAUUGUUCCCUAUUGCCAUGUUUCUUAAGGUGUGCAAACCAAGAAACAUUGUUUCCUAGCCAUGUUUCUUGAAGAUGGGCGAACAACGAAACAGUGUUUCCUGGCCAUGUUUCCCGAAAGUGAACGAGCAAGGAAACGUUUGCUUCCUACUCCAAAAAAUUGUUUUCCAAAGGUGCGAAAACCAAGAAUUAUCUGAACAAUUUUUAACAUUUUAAUUUGUAUUACCCUCUAUAUUACAGAUUUGGAAUUGUACAUUGCACCAAGGAUGUAAUAAUAAUUUGGAUUGCUCCUGUCUUUUCAAAAAGUUGGUAUGCACCGCUGAAAAC